Molecule: ribosomal RNA, 253 nt
Filed under: uncultured bacterium
Lineage: Bacteria
Description: partial 16S ribosomal RNA
Rfam family: Bacterial small subunit ribosomal RNA
Source: RNAcentral
UACAGAGGUCUCAAGCGUUGUUCGGAUUCAUUGGGCGUAAAGCGCACGUAGGCGGCCUCAAAAGUCGGAUGUGAAAUCCCGGGGCUCAACCUCGGAACUGCCUUUGAUACUGCAAAUCUCGAGUCCGGAAGAGGUGAGUGGAAUUCCUAGUGUAGAGGUGAAAUUCGUAGAUAUUAGGAAGAACACCAGUGGCGAAGGCGGCUCACUGGUCCGGUACUGACGCUGAGGUGCGAAAGCGUGGGGAGCAAACAGG